GAGGGUAUAGCUCAGUGGUAAGUAGAGCAUGUGCUUAGCAUGCAUGAGGUCCUGGGUUCAAUCCCCAAUGUCUCCA
Molecule: transfer RNA, 76 nt
Filed under: Camelus bactrianus (Bactrian camel)
Lineage: Eukaryota; Metazoa; Chordata; Mammalia; Artiodactyla; Camelidae
Also listed under: 3 other names
Rfam family: tRNA
About the family: Transfer RNA (tRNA) molecules are approximately 80 nucleotides in length. Their secondary structure includes four short double-helical elements and three loops (D, anti-codon, and T loops).
Source: Rfam by way of RNAcentral